AUCAACUUUCGAUGGUAGGAUAGAGGCCUACCAUGGUGGUAACGGGGUGUUAGGGCACGACACCGGAGAGGGAGCCUGAGAAACGGCUACCACAUCCAAGGAUGGCAGCAGGCGCGCAAAUUACCCAAUCCCAACACGGGGAGGUAGUGACAAUAAAUAACAAUACGGGGUUCUUAUGGAUCUCGUAAUUGGAAUGAGUACAAUUUAAAUCUCUUAACGAGGAACAAUUGGAGGGCAAGUCUGGUGCCAGCAGCCGCGGUAAUUCCAGCUCCAAUAGCGUAUAUUAAAGUUGUUGCAGUUAAAAAGCUCGUAGUUGAAUUUCGGGAUCAAUUUGCUGGUCGUGCCUCUGGUACGUACUGGUAUUAUUGGUUUCUCCCUUCUGACGAACCAUGAUGUCAUUAAUUUGAUGUCGUGGAGAAUCAGGACUGUUACUUUGAAAAAAUUAGAGUGUUUAAAGCAGGCAUACGCUUGAAUACAUUAGCAUGGAAUAAUGAAAUAGGACGUUUGAUUCUAUUUUGUUGGUUUCUAGGAUCGACGUAAUGAUUAAUAGGGAUAGUUGGGGGCAUUAGUAUUCAAUUGUCAGAGGUGAAAUUCUUGGAUUUAUUGAAGACUAACUACUGCGAAAGCAUUUGCCAAGGAUGUUUUCAUUAAUCAAGAACGAAAGUUAGGGGAUCGAAGACGAUCAGAUACCGUCGUAGUCUUAACCAUAAACUAUGCCGACUAGGGAUCGGAUGAUGUUAAUUUUUUAAUGACUCAUUCGGCGCCUUACGGGAAACCAAAGUGUUUGGGUUC
This 792-nucleotide ribosomal RNA is filed under the name uncultured Glomeromycotina. RNAcentral describes it as "SSU rRNA". It matches the Rfam family "Eukaryotic small subunit ribosomal RNA", at positions 314 to 1114 of the family's 1831-position model. The record is from RNAcentral. Lineage: Eukaryota; Fungi; Glomeromycota.